UACAGAGGUCUCAAGCGUUGUUCGGAUUCAUUGGGCGUAAAGGGUGCGUAGGUGGCGCGCUAAGUCAGGUGUGAAAUUUCGGAGCUUAACUCCGAAACUGCAUUUGAUACUGGCGUGCUUGAGGACUGGAGAGGAGACUGGAAUUCACGGUGUAGCAGUGAAAUGCGUAGAUAUCGUGAGGAAGACCAGUGGCGAAGGCGGGUCUCUGGGCCGAUAUUGACGCUGAGGAGCGAAAGCGUGGGGAGCGAACAGG
Molecule: ribosomal RNA, 253 nt
Filed under: uncultured bacterium
Lineage: Bacteria
Description: partial 16S ribosomal RNA
Rfam family: Bacterial small subunit ribosomal RNA
Source: RNAcentral